RNAcentral lists this ribosomal RNA (253 nucleotides) under uncultured bacterium. RNAcentral's name for it is "partial 16S ribosomal RNA". It matches the Rfam family "Bacterial small subunit ribosomal RNA", at positions 524 to 776 of the family's 1533-position model. The record is from RNAcentral.
UACAGAGGUCCCGAGCGUUGUUCGGAUUCACUGGGCGUAAAGGGUGCGUAGGUGGUGAGGUAAGUCGGAUGUGAAAUCUCCGAGCUCAACUCGGAAAUGGCAUUGGAAACUACCUUGCUUGAGGGUUGGAGGGGGGACUGGAAUUCUUGGUGUAGCAGUGAAAUGCGUAGAUAUCAAGAGGAACACCAGUGGCGAAGGCGAGUCCCUGGACGAUACCUGACACUGAGGCACGAAAGCCAAGGGAGCAAACAGG